AUGAAGCUAGCUUAUGAAUUAAUCUUCCUGGGGUUCUUACAGUCUGUUGCAUAUCAGAUGUUUGAUCAAGAGGUCCAGGCUCUGUUUGAGGUGAAGAUGCUGCUUAAUGACAGUCGUGGUGUCCUAGAAGACUGGAAUCGCCAUCUAGAUACUGCAUGUAGUACUAUUGCUAUUGUCAUGUGUGAUCCUGACGGCAACGUGGUCGAAAUUUUGUCCACAAAAUCCAGUGAGCCUUGCAGAUCAAGAAAAUCCACCAUAAAGGUGGUUCUCGGAAGCAUUGGUGGAGCAAUAGUUGUUGUUGCUAUGUUUGCUCUAAUCUUGCGAAGCAUGCCUUGCCGAUGGUAUUGCAUGGCACAAGGGAGUGCUUCUUGGUUUAGAAAAAUAAUGAAAAUUGCUCUUGGCACUGCCCUUGGUUUGGGAUACCUUCAUGAUAACUGUAACUCCCUGAUUAUCCACGGUAAUAUCAAGGUUGUCAAUGUCCCGCUCGAUGGAAAUUUUGAAGUUGUGCUAGGAUACUUUGGACUGCCAAAGUUAAUGGACCAAGGGAAGGAAAUAAUGACGAUAGAGAGAUCCAGGGAACAUUGGGCUACAUGGCUCUAG
This 600-nucleotide ribosomal RNA is filed under the name Triticum aestivum (bread wheat). RNAcentral's name for it is "partial small subunit ribosomal RNA". Lineage: Eukaryota; Viridiplantae; Streptophyta; Magnoliopsida; Poales; Poaceae. The record is from RNAcentral.